This 284-nucleotide unclassified non-coding RNA is filed under the name Hevea brasiliensis (rubber tree). Lineage: Eukaryota; Viridiplantae; Streptophyta; Magnoliopsida; Malpighiales; Euphorbiaceae. The record is from RNAcentral.
AUUUGGGUGGGACAUUGUAAUAUCCAUUUUGGCUGGUCUAUUUAGAAAGUUAGUUAAUGGAAACAAAAACUUUAUAAAUAAUUAUUUUUAAUGAAGCCUUAUUUCUUUUAGUUUCUCUUCAUUGUCUUCUUCUCUCUCUUUUUAUGCUGUUAAUAAUUUGCCUGAUUUCAGGUUGGUGCUAAGAGAUACUAUUUAUAUGCAUGUCAUUCAAAAUUUCUGCUGUGGUUAUAAAUUUUUCUUUCUAAAUUUCAUAUAAUUCUACCUUAAUGAGAAAGGAAAAAAAA